RNAcentral lists this ribosomal RNA (486 nucleotides) under uncultured bacterium. Its description in RNAcentral is "partial 16S ribosomal RNA". It matches the Rfam family "Bacterial small subunit ribosomal RNA", at positions 28 to 507 of the family's 1533-position model. The record is from RNAcentral.
GACGAACGCUGGCGGCGUGCUUAACACAUGCAAGUCGAACGCUGAAGGCCUGGCUUUUGUUGGGUUGGAUGAGUGGCGAACGGGUGAGUAACACGUGAGUAACCUGCCCUCUUCUUUGGGAUAACGCCCGGAAACGGGUGCUAAUACUGGAUAUUCACUGAUCUUCGCAUGGGGGUUGGUGGAAAGGUUUGUUCUGGUGGGGGAUGGGCUCGCGGCCUAUCGGCUUGUUGGGGGGGUGAUGGCCUACCAAGGCUUUGACGGGUAGCCGGCCUGUGAGGGGGACCGGUCACAUUGGGACUGAGAUACGGCCCAGACUCCUACGGGAGGCAGCAGUGGGGAAUAUUGCACAAUAGGCGAAAGCAUGAUGCAGCGACGCCGCGUGAGGGAUGGAGGCCUUCGGGUUGUAAACCUCUUUCGCUCAUGGUCAAGCCGCAACUGUGGGUUGUGGUGAGGGUAGUGGGUAAAGAAGCGCCGGCUAACUACGUG